UACGUAGGGGGCUAGCGUUGUCCGGAAUCAUUGGGCGUAAAGCGCGUGUAGGCGGGCGACUAAGUCGGAUGUGAAAUCCCUGGGCUCAACCUAGGAACUGCAUUCGAAACUGGUCACCUAGAGUGAUGGAGAGGAAAGCGGAAUUCCCGGUGUAGAGGUGAAAUUCGUAGAUAUCGGGAGGAACACCAGUGGCGAAGGCGGCUUCUGGACAUUUACUGACGCUGAGACGCGAAAGCGUGGGGAGCAAACAGG
RNAcentral lists this ribosomal RNA (252 nucleotides) under uncultured bacterium. RNAcentral's name for it is "partial 16S ribosomal RNA". It matches the Rfam family "Bacterial small subunit ribosomal RNA", at positions 524 to 776 of the family's 1533-position model. The record is from RNAcentral.